ACGAACGCUGGCGGCGUGCUUAACACAUGCAAGUCGAACGGAAAGGCCCUGCUUUUGUGGGGUGCUCGAGUGGCGAACGGGUGAGUAACACGUGAGUAACCUGCCCUUGACUUUGGGAUAACUUCAGGAAACUGGGGCUAAUACCGGAUAGGAGCUCCUGCUGCAUGGUGGGGGUUGGAAAGUUUCGGCGGUUGGGGAUGGACUCGCGGCUUAUCAGCUUGUUGGUGGGGUAGUGGCUUACCAAGGCUUUGACGGGUAGCCGGCCUGAGAGGGUGACCGGCCACAUUGGGACUGAGAUACGGCCCAGACUCUUACCGGAGGCAGCAGUGGGGAAUAUUGCACAAUGGGCGGAAGCCUGAUGCAGCAACGCCGCGUGCGGGAUGACGGCCUUCGGGUUGUAAACCGCUUUCGCCUGUGACGAAGCGUGAGUGACGGUAAUGGGUAAAGAAGCACCGGCUAACUACGUG
This 467-nucleotide ribosomal RNA is filed under the name uncultured bacterium. Its description in RNAcentral is "partial 16S ribosomal RNA". It matches the Rfam family "Bacterial small subunit ribosomal RNA", at positions 29 to 507 of the family's 1533-position model. The record is from RNAcentral.